GGCCCGUGGUCAAGCGGUUAAGACACCGCCCUUUCACGGCGGUAACACGGGUUCGAGUCCCGUCGGGGUCA
Molecule: transfer RNA, 71 nt
Filed under: Staphylococcus cohnii
Lineage: Bacteria; Bacillati; Bacillota; Bacilli; Caryophanales; Staphylococcaceae
Description: tRNA-Glu
Rfam family: tRNA
About the family: Transfer RNA (tRNA) molecules are approximately 80 nucleotides in length.
Source: RNAcentral